AGCUCAGCACUGGGUGUAAAGCGUGCGCAGGUGGUUUUGUAAGACAGAGGUGAAAUCCCCGGGCUCAACCUGGGAACUGCCUUUGUGACUGCAAGGCUGGAGUGCGGCAGAGGGGGAUGGAAUUCCGCGUGUAGCAGUGAAAUGCGUAGAUAUGCGGAGGAACACCGAUGGCGAAGGCAAUCCCCUGGGCCUGCACUGACGCUCGUGCACGAAAGCGUGGGGAGCAAACA
RNAcentral lists this ribosomal RNA (230 nucleotides) under uncultured Alicycliphilus sp. RNAcentral's name for it is "partial 16S ribosomal RNA". It matches the Rfam family "Bacterial small subunit ribosomal RNA", at positions 553 to 774 of the family's 1533-position model. The record is from RNAcentral. Lineage: Bacteria; Pseudomonadati; Pseudomonadota; Betaproteobacteria; Burkholderiales; Comamonadaceae.